AUGGCGCGAGGCAACCUCGUUCGUGGGCUACCUCACAUCGAGCACGCCGACGAGCUGUGUGAUGCAUGUCUUGCGGGGAAGCAGCGGCGUCUGCCGUUUCCUGAGAAGGCACGCUAUCGGGCGCAGAAACCCCUGGAGCUGGUUCACAGGGACCUCUGCGGCCCAAUCACCCCGGCAACGCCAGGAGGGCGUCGCUACAUCCUGCUGCUCGUUGACGACUAUAGCAGGUUCAUGUGGGUGCUGCUCCUCGCCUCCAAGGAUGAGGCGGAGCAAGCCAUUGUCAAGCAGCAAGCGGCAGCAGAGGUCGAGUGCGGCCACAAGUUGCGUGUGCUGCGCACGGACCGUGGCGGCGAGUUCACGUUGGCCACGUUCUACAAGCACUGCGAUGAGAAAGGGGUGCAACGUCACCUCACAGCCCCUUACUCGCCGCAGCAGAACGGCGUCGUCGAGCGGAGGAACCAGACGGUGCUUGGGAUGGCACGCUGCAUGCUCAAGGCAAAGCAGGUGCCGAGCACGUAUUGGGGGGAGGCCGUGCUCACGGCCGUCUUCAUCCUCAACCGCUCCUUCACAAGGAGCGUCGAUGGCAAGACGCCUUAUGAGGCGUGGUACGGAAGGAAGCCCGAUGUACGCUUCCUCCGCACCUUUGGCUGCGUCGGGCAUGUCAAGAUGGCGCGCCCACAGCUGAAGAAGCUCGAUGACAGGAGCACCCCGAUGGUGUUCAUGGGCUAUGAGACGGGCUCUAAGGCGUACAAGAUGUACGACACCGUCUCAAAGAGUGUGCAUGUCUCGCGCGAUGUCAUCUUCGACGAAGACGCGCGAUGGACUUGGGAGGUGUCGGGGGAGGCCCCGGCAAGCAGCUCCUUCACUGUGGAGUACCCGAUGUACUCUACAACCCCGGGAAGCAAGACCCCGGGAAGUGCCACCCCGGGAAGCUCGGGAGGUGUGGAUCCGGGAACAGCAACCCCGAGAACACCGUCCCCGGGUACGGUGUCGCCAGACACCACGACGUCAAGCAACGUGGGUCCCGGGAGGCAGUUCGCAACCCCGCCAACGGCGAGGUCGGAGCUGUUCGACACCGACGACAGCGUUGGCGCCCCCCACAGGUUUCGGCGCAUGGGGGAUCUCCUCGGCGAGGCUGCGGCAACACCGCGACAGCCCGAGGAUGAGGACACUGAUGACGACGAGGUCUUGCAUCUGAUGGCCGGCGAGGAGCUGACCACGUUCGCGGAGGCCGAGCAAGAGGAUUGCUGGCGCCACGCGAUGCUGGACGAGCUGGCGUCGAUCAACGACAACGCCACUUGGACACUCACCACGCUGCCUGCUGGGCACCGAGCCAUCGGGCUCAAGUGGGUGUUCAAGGUGAAGAAGGACGAGCACGGUGCCAUUGUCAAGCACAAGGCGCGCCUCGUCGCAAAGGGCUACGUGCAGCGUGAGGGAGUGGACUUCGAGGAAGUCUUUGCUCCGGUGGCAAGGCUGGAGUCGGUGCGGCUCAUCCUUGCCGUGGCCGCUCACCGCGGGUGGGAAGUACACCACAUGGAUGUCAAGUCGGCGUUU
Molecule: ribosomal RNA, 1554 nt
Filed under: Triticum aestivum (bread wheat)
Lineage: Eukaryota; Viridiplantae; Streptophyta; Magnoliopsida; Poales; Poaceae
Description: partial small subunit ribosomal RNA
Source: RNAcentral